Bubalus bubalis (water buffalo) is the source of this 1177-nucleotide long non-coding RNA. RefSeq lists it as uncharacterized. The transcript is spliced from 2 exons. The record is from RefSeq and is a predicted model, not a curated record. NCBI's taxonomy places the organism in Eukaryota, Metazoa, Chordata, Mammalia, Artiodactyla, Bovidae.
GCUUCCAGCUUUCUUUCCUCAAAGCAACAGAAGCCAGAGAUGCCCCUUUGAAAUGAAUAUGUACCCUGGAGAUUUGUUGAACUCUUAUGAGAGAAGGCAGAGGUGUGUUCUAAGGAUAGGUAAAAUGAGGGACGAGGGAGAAUUUCAUGAGAGAAGUCAUAGGAAUUGAAUUGUUUAACUUCAAGCUAGAUAAGUGGUCUAUGCUUUUUCACACUUUUAAAAUGUGUUCUUUUCCAAAACGUAAUUGCCUUAAGUUAUUAUUGGCUUCUAGCACAACUGGCCUUAAGAGAGAUGUGAUGACAUAUUAAAGGAGUAGAACAAAAUGAGCUGCCCCCUCCGUUCAUCUCGCCCGUUGUGGACAUCAAAUCUCAUUGCAGACCUCAUUUUCUUCAAGAAGCUAUUCCCUGCUCUGUCAGCUUCUUUAAUCCUGGAUGCCCUUGGACAAGUAGAACAAAACGUUUGAGUUCUUUUCCUAUUUGUUCGUCUGCUCAGAGGGACAGGAUUUAGUCCGCCAGUUGACCACUUGAUGUACUGAGGAGUUCCCUGUUCUGUGCUGUGAUCUGCCUGGGGAAAUGGGAAGAAAAGAGCCAAGUACAAAGGAAUGUUGGAACCAGAGUCAAGGUCCUGGGAGUUGCCUUCUUUUCUUCUCUUUGGAAUUAUAAGUAUCCAAGGAGACUGGAUAUUUAUAUCCAAUAAAUAUAAAUUUAUAUUUAUAAAUGUAUAAACUUACCCAGGUUAACAGCCAGGUUACUGGGUUAACAGCCAAGACAGUGUCUACUCUCAGCUGGGCUGGUAUCCAGUUCGCCAACUGCACUCUUCAUUUCUGGUUGAACCUCACGCUCCCCUAAGCAAGAAAUGCCUCUUAAACACCUGAUUGCUUGCACUAGAGGCCUAACUUUGAGGGCCCAUCUGCAUCACUGAUUCCAGAAAUGAAUUGAACUGAACCGACCUAUCGUUAGGAUUAGGAGACUGGUUCAUUGAGAUGGAACAGUUUAUCAACUCGACUUCUGGACUGUAAAACUUCAAGGGAAGUCUCUGAAGAGGAAAUUGAUGGGGUUUAGGGCAGGCUGCCCCAAGACGUGUCACUUUGGUAUGCAGAUUAUUUUGAGCUGAAAACUAUCAAGGCCCAAAAGACUCAGGAAGAACUUUUAAAAUUAAUUAAAUUGAGUUAAUUUUA